GGUUGAUCCUGCCAGUGCCGAUAUGCUUAUGUCAAAGAUUAAGCCAUGCAUGUCUAAGAACGCCGUUUACGGUUUUUCUGUAUAUAGCUCAUUACAACAGUACUAUUUGCCUCGAUUAAUCCUACCUAGGAUACUUUCGAUAAUCCUGGAGUCAAUACCGUGCCCCUACGGGGAAAUAAGGUCACCAGCCUGCUCUGCAGUUUGUGUACCGUAAUAUCUGAAUUUCUUAUGAAACCGAGCGUAAGCUUCGGCAAAUCGUGCAAAGCACUGUCCUUUUAACUUGAGAUGGUAG
RNAcentral lists this ribosomal RNA (292 nucleotides) under uncultured eukaryote. RNAcentral's name for it is "partial 18S ribosomal RNA". It matches the Rfam family "Eukaryotic small subunit ribosomal RNA", at positions 6 to 331 of the family's 1831-position model. The record is from RNAcentral.